Molecule: ribosomal RNA, 253 nt
Filed under: uncultured bacterium
Lineage: Bacteria
Description: partial 16S ribosomal RNA
Rfam family: Bacterial small subunit ribosomal RNA
Source: RNAcentral
UACGAAGGGAGCUAGCGUUGUUCGGAAUCACUGGGCGUAAAGCGCACGUAGGCGGAUGUGUCAGUCAGGGGUGAAAUCCCGGAGCUCAACUUCGGAACUGCCUUUGAUACUGCACAUCUGGAGUCCGGAAGAGGUGGGUGGAAUUCCUAGUGUAGAGGUGAAAUUCGUAGAUAUUAGGAAGAACACCGGUGGCGAAGGCGGCCCACUGGUCCGGUACUGACGCUGAGGUGCGAAAGCGUGGGGAGCAAACAGG